RNAcentral lists this ribosomal RNA (418 nucleotides) under uncultured bacterium. Its description in RNAcentral is "bacterial SSU rRNA". It matches the Rfam family "Bacterial small subunit ribosomal RNA", at positions 28 to 447 of the family's 1533-position model. The record is from RNAcentral.
GAUGAACGCUAGCGGCAGGCCUAACACAUGCAAGUCGAGGGGUAGAAUACUUCGGUGUUUGAGACCGGCGCACGGGUGCGUAACGCGUAUGCAAUCUACCUUGUACAGAGGGAUAGCCCAGAGAAAUUUGGAUUAAUACCUCAUAGUGUUAUCGAAUGGCAUCGUUUGAUAACUAAAGUUCCAACGGUACAAGAUGAGCAUGCGUCCCAUUAGUUAGUUGGUAAGGUAACGGCUUACCAAGACAAUGAUGGGUAGGGGUCCUGAGAGGGAGAUCCCCCACACUGGUACUGAGACACGGACCAGACUCCUACGGGAGGCAGCAGUGAGGAAUAUUGGACAAUGGGCGAGAGCCUGAUCCAGCCAUGCCGCGUGCAGGAAGACGGCCCUACUGGGUUGUAAACUGCUUUUGUACGGGAAG